This 97-nucleotide ribosomal RNA is filed under the name Hucho hucho (huchen). The record is from RNAcentral. Lineage: Eukaryota; Metazoa; Chordata; Actinopteri; Salmoniformes; Salmonidae.
GUCAGUAGCUAUACAACUCUGCAUCUCUAUGAUGGCUUCCGUCUGAAGCUAAGCAGGGUUGGGCUUGGUUAGUAUAGGAGACCAGAUGCUGCUGAAA